UACGGAGGAUCCGAGCGUUAUCCGGAAUUAUUGGGUUUAAAGGGUGCGUAGGCGGCCUGGUAAGUCAGGGGUGAAAGACGGUGGCUCAACCAUCGCAGUGCCUUUGAUACUGCCGGGCUUGAAUGUACGUGAGGUAGGCGGAAUGUGGCAAGUAGCGGUGAAAUGCAUAGAUAUGCCACAGAACACCGAUUGCGAAGGCAGCUUACCAAGGUACGAUUGACGCUGAGGCACGAAAGCGUGGGGAUCAAACAGG
Molecule: ribosomal RNA, 253 nt
Filed under: uncultured bacterium
Lineage: Bacteria
Description: partial 16S ribosomal RNA
Rfam family: Bacterial small subunit ribosomal RNA
Source: RNAcentral